UCUGUUAAAAGCUUGAUGGUCAGUCCAUGACACUGAUGGGAGGUGAGAGAACCAAUAAGCAAUGGGGCAUAUCGUCUUGUAUCGUACCAUAGAUUGGCAUGGCAUGGCAUGCGCCUGGGGCUCAACACAGAUGGUCAUAGCCACAUUAUGCAUGGUAUAUUCAUGAGUUUCUUCUUCACAAGACAACAGGAUGGUCUACUCGUAUAUACAGCCUGGAUCCAUAUCCAGACAACGUUGGAAGAAAAAGAUGACCCUAAAGGUCGUAUGUUUCUUUUUUAUAGACCAUUAUUGUUGUGACAGAAUGGAAAGGAAAUCAGAGAGAAUGAGAGCAAGAGGGGAUGAGUUCCCUGCUGAACAGCAGCAUGAGAGAUUCUGGGAAGACUCUAUGUCUUGAUGUGGGGUCCACUAGCGGCAUCCUGCUGUGGUGCAUGCUAUGGUAUAGUUUCCAUUUGAGUGUGUUCUUCACGUUUGCAUGCAUGUGUGCAUAGGAGCAGGUGCACGUGUAGGCAUGGGUAUGCAGAGGCCAGAGAUAAAUUAUUCUUCAACAGUUCACCACCUCCCUUUUUUUCUGUUUUGAGACCCAUCUCUCACUAACCAGGAGCUCACGGAUUUAGCUAGACCCGCUGGCCAGUGGGUCUCAGGCAUGUGAUGGCUCCACCUCCAGCCCAGGAGCUGUGUGCCACUGUGCCCAGCUGUUUGCAUGAGCGCUUGGCAUCUGACUCAGGCAUGAUACCUACUGAGCCACCAUCGCAGCCUUUCACACGACGUCUCCCAGCCUGUGAUGCAUGCUCAGAAGCAUCAAGCAGAAGCAAAUACCUUCUUCCAGGAUCAAUGCAGAUUUGUCUCCAAGAACCCAAGCAGUCAUGGACGGGCAGAGGAACUGAAGAAUAGGAAUGUUAGAAUUUCCAAGUGGGAAAAAGACGUUAAACAUU
Molecule: long non-coding RNA, 932 nt
Organism: Mus musculus (house mouse)
Lineage: Eukaryota; Metazoa; Chordata; Mammalia; Rodentia; Muridae
Product: predicted gene, 36853
Exons: 3
Source: RefSeq, a predicted model, not a curated record